Molecule: ribosomal RNA, 550 nt
Filed under: uncultured bacterium
Lineage: Bacteria
Description: bacterial SSU rRNA
Rfam family: Bacterial small subunit ribosomal RNA
Source: RNAcentral
UAGGGAAUNNUUGGCAAUGGACGGAAGUCUGACCGAGCAACGCCGCGUGAGUGAAGAAGGUAUUCGGAUUGUAAAGCUCUGUUGUAAGAGAAGAACGAGUGUGAGAGUGGAAAGUUCACACUGUGACGGUAUCUUACCAGAAAGGGACGGCUAACUACGUGCCAGCAGCCGCGGUAAUACGUAGGUCCCGAGCGUUAUCCGGAUUUAUUGGGCGUAAAGCGAGCGCAGGCGGUUAGAUAAGUCUGAAGUUAAAGGCUGUGGCUUAACCAUAGUACGCUUUGGAAACUGUUUAACUUGAGUGCAAGAGGGGAGAGUGGAAUUCCAUGUGUAGCGGUGAAAUGCGUAGAUAUAUGGAGGAACACCGGUGGCGAAAGCGGCUCUCUGGCUUGUAACUGACGCUGAGGCUCGAAAGCGUGGGGAGCAAACAGGAUUAGAUACCCCGGUAGUCCACGCCGUAAACGAUGAGUGCUAGGUGUUAGACCCUUUCCGGGGUUCAGUGCCGUAGCUAACGCAUUAAGCACUCCGCCUGGGGAGUACGACCGCAAGGUUG